This 250-nucleotide unclassified non-coding RNA is filed under the name Hevea brasiliensis (rubber tree). Lineage: Eukaryota; Viridiplantae; Streptophyta; Magnoliopsida; Malpighiales; Euphorbiaceae. The record is from RNAcentral.
UUUUUUUUAUACACAAUAUUUAACUUAGCAAUUAGUAAUCCAAAUUUGGGUGUUUUGGAAACUCUACAAAUGAAAGAAAAGAAAAGGAAAUACAGAACAUUUCCAGGAAAAAGCCUAGGAACUAAAUCAGGAAAAAUGAAGAUUCAAGGCCAUUAUACAAAAUCAACAGAAGUAAAUUAUCUAUGAUUUAAAUUAGCAAACCCAAAAUGGAAAAACUUGUUAACUUGAUGAGAAGCUUCAUCUUUCCUCG